UGGGGAAUAUUGGACAAUGGGGGCAACCCUGAUCCAGCCAUGCCGCGUGUGUGAAGAAGGCCUUUUGGUUGUAAAGCACUUUAAGCAGGGAGGAGAGGCUAAUGGUUAAUACCCAUUAGAUUAGACGUUACCUGCAGAAUAAGCACCGGCUAACUCUGUGCCAGCAGCCGCGGUAAUACAGAGGGUGCGAGCGUUAAUCGGAAUUACUGGGCGUAAAGCGAGUGUAGGUGGCUCAUUAAGUCACAUGUGAAAUCCCCGGGCUUAACCUGGGAACUGCAUGUGGUACUGGUGGUGCUAGAAUAUGUGAGAGGGAAGUAGAAUUCCAGGUGUAGCGGUGAAAUGCGUAGAGAUCUGGAGGAAUACCGAUGGCGAAGGCAGCUUCCUGGCAUAAUAUUGACGCUGGGAUUCGAAAAGCGUGGGUAGCAAACAGGAUUAGAUACCCUGGUAGUCCACGCCGUAAAACGAUGUCUACUAAGCCGUUGGGGUCCUUGAGACUUUAGUGGCGCAGUU
RNAcentral lists this ribosomal RNA (510 nucleotides) under uncultured bacterium. Its description in RNAcentral is "partial 16S ribosomal RNA". It matches the Rfam family "Bacterial small subunit ribosomal RNA", at positions 355 to 853 of the family's 1533-position model. The record is from RNAcentral.